This 1248-nucleotide ribosomal RNA is filed under the name Rhagovelia mangle. RNAcentral describes it as "partial 16S ribosomal RNA". The stretch from base 808 to 1161 matches the Rfam family "Archaeal large subunit ribosomal RNA", at positions 2158 to 2714 of the family's 2987-position model. The record is from RNAcentral. Lineage: Eukaryota; Metazoa; Arthropoda; Insecta; Hemiptera; Veliidae.
AAUUAUUUUAUUCUUUUUCUCUUUUUUAAUAAAAAUAUUUUAUUUUUUAGUAUUUUGAAUUAAUAUUUUUUUUUGAUAGCUUAUUUAACUGUGAAGGUUAAUUUUUUUAAUUAAAAGUAAUCUUUUUUUGGUGUACCUUUUGCAUCAGGGUUUAUUAAUUUAAUAUAAUUAUUUAUUUUUCUCGAAAUUUCAAGUUAAAAAUUAUAGUGUUUUUUAUUGUUUUAUAUAUAUAAUUAACUUUAAUUUAGAAGUUAUAUGCUUUUCAUUUGAGUUUAUAUCUAGUUUUUUAAUAAUUAAAUUUAAUUUAGUUUACAUAAGUUUUUUUUAUUUUAAUUAUUAAUGAUUUGUGUAUAAAAACUUUUUGGGGAUAAGCUUGAUUGGUUUUUUAAAAAGUUGUUUUUUCAGAUUUUUCAUAGGAUUGAUAAUUUCUAUUUUUAUUUUUUUAUAAUUAUUUUUCUGUUUAUAAGAUUUUUUUUCUUUUAAUUAUUUAUUAAAGUAUAGGUUUUAAUUUAUUUUGUUUUUUAAUAAUGAUAAAAUUAGUAAUUUUUUAUAAUUUAAAUUUAGGAACUCGGCAAAAAUAAUUUUCACCUGUUUAACAAAAACAUGGUUUUUAGAUUUUAAUUUAAAAUCAGGCCUGCCCAUUGAUUUAAAAUAUUAAAAGGCUGCGGUAUUUUAACUGUACUAAGGUAGCAUAAUCAUUUGCCUUUUAAUUGGGGGCUUGCAUGAAUGGUUUGAUGAAAAAUUUUCUUUCUUAUUUUAAUUAAUUUGAAUUUAAUUUUUUAAUUAAAAAGUUAAAAUUUCUUUAUAGGACGAGAAGACCCUAUAGAAAUUUAUUUUUUAUAUAAAUUUUCCUUUUUUGUUAUUAAAAGAUUAAUUUAGAAUAAAAAAUUUUGUUGGGGUGACAGUAAAAUUUUUAUAACUUUUACUUAUUUUUCCAUUAAUUUAUGAUUUGAUCCAGUUUUAUUGAUUAAAAGAAUAAUUUACCUUAGGGAUAACAGCGUUAUUUUUUUGGAGAGUUCUAAUCGAUGAAAAAGUUUGCGACCUCGAUGUUGAAUUAAGAUUAGUUUUGGGUGCAGAUUUUCAAAGUUCUUGGUCUGUUCGACCAUUAAAUUCUUACAUGAUUUGAGUUCAGACCGGCGUGAGCCAGGUCGGUUUCUAUCCUUAUUUUUUUUAUAAUUUAGUACGAAAGGACCUUUUAUAACAAUUAUAAUUGUAUUAUUAGAAUGUAAUUAAUUAUCUUGGCAGAUU